This 303-nucleotide ribosomal RNA is filed under the name uncultured bacterium. RNAcentral describes it as "bacterial SSU rRNA". It matches the Rfam family "Bacterial small subunit ribosomal RNA", at positions 212 to 507 of the family's 1533-position model. The record is from RNAcentral.
CUCUCACUAUCGGAUGAACCCAGAUGGGAUUAGCUAGUAGGCGGGGUAAUGGCCCACCUAGGCGACGAUCCCUAGCUGGUCUGAGAGGAUGACCAGCCACACUGGAACUGAGACACGGUCCAGACUCCUACGGGAGGCAGCAGUGGGGAAUAUUGCACAAUGGGCGCAAGCCUGAUGCAGCCAUGCCGCGUGUAUGAAGAAGGCCUUCGGGUUGUAAAGUACUUUCAGCGGGGAGGAAGGCGAUGGGGUUAAUAACCCUGUCGAUUGACGUUACCCGCAGAAGAAGCACCGGCUAACUCCGUG